ACGAACGCUGGCGGCGUGCUUAACACAUGCAAGUCGAACGGAAAGGCCCUGCUUUUGUGGGGUGCUCGAGUGGCGAACGGGUGAGUAACACGUGAGUAACCUGCCCUUGACUUUGGGAUAACUUCAGGAAACUGGGGCUAAUACCGGAUAGGAGCUCCUGCUGCAUGGUGGGGGUUGGAAAGUUUCGGCGGUUGGGGAUGGACUCGCGGCUUAUCAGCUUGUUGGUGGGGUAGUGGCUUACCAAGGCUUUGACGGGUAGCCGGCCUGAGAGGGUGACCGGUCACAUUGGGACUGAGAUACGGCCCAGACUCCUACGGGAGGCAGCAGUGGGGAAUAUUGCACAAUGGGCGGAAGCCUGAUGCAGCAACGCCGCGUGCGGGAUGACGGCCUUCGGGUUGUAAACCGCUUUCGCCUGUGACGAAGCGUGAGUGACGGUAAUGGGUAAAGAAGCACCGGCUAACUACGUG
This 467-nucleotide ribosomal RNA is filed under the name uncultured bacterium. RNAcentral describes it as "partial 16S ribosomal RNA". It matches the Rfam family "Bacterial small subunit ribosomal RNA", at positions 29 to 507 of the family's 1533-position model. The record is from RNAcentral.